This 234-nucleotide ribosomal RNA is filed under the name Alexandrium margalefii. RNAcentral describes it as "partial Bacterial large subunit ribosomal RNA". It matches the Rfam family "Bacterial large subunit ribosomal RNA", at positions 1368 to 1709 of the family's 2925-position model. The record is from RNAcentral. Lineage: Eukaryota; Dinophyceae; Gonyaulacales; Pyrocystaceae.
AUCUGAGCAGGGUAAGCCGGCCCCUAAGGCGAGGCAGAAAUGCGUAGCCGAUGGGAACCACGUUAAUAUUCGUGGGCCAGGAGGAUGUGACGGAUCAAGAGGGUAGUUCAUUCUUAUCGGAUUGAAUGGGCUGCUUAUUGGUCCCUGGAAAUAGCCCUCCAUCAGACCGUACCCUAAACCGACACAGGUGGACUGGUAGAGAAUACCAAGGCGCUUGAGAGAACGAUGUUGAAG